CCUACGGGAGACAGCAGUGAGGAAUAUUGGUCAAUGGGCUUACGCCUGAACCAGCCAAGUCGCGUGAGGGAAGACUGCCCUAUGGGUUGUAAACUUCUUUUAUAAAGGAAUAAAACGAGGCACGUGUGCCUUUUUGCAUGUACUUUAUGAAUAAGGAUCGGCUAACUCCGUGCCAGCAGCCGCGGUAAUACGGAGGAUCCGAGCGUUAUCCGGAUUUAUUGGGUUUAAAGGGAGCGUAGAUGGGUUGUUAAGUCAGUUGUGAAAGUUUGCGGCUCAACCGUAAAAUUGCAAUUGAUACUGGCAGUCUUGAGUACAGUUGAGGUAGGCGGAAUUCGUGGUGUAGCGGUGAAAUGCUUAGAUAUCACGAAGAACCCCGAUUGCGAAGGCAGCUUACUAAACUGUGACUGACAUUGAUGCUCGAAAGUGUGGGUAUCAAACAGGAUUAGAUACCCUUGUAGUC
Molecule: ribosomal RNA, 460 nt
Filed under: uncultured bacterium
Lineage: Bacteria
Description: partial 16S ribosomal RNA
Rfam family: Bacterial small subunit ribosomal RNA
Source: RNAcentral